CCCCUGCUGCUGUGGUGGCCACAGACUCUCAGGAGACCAGUGAAGAUCCAGUUGGAGUGGUGCUGAUCACACAGCUGGAGUGGUCUUUCAGCAGGGCUCUGAAGCAGUUUCCCGGUCCCAGCGGUCCCAGCACACAGCUGCUACCAGAGGCAGUCUUUCAUGGAUACAGGAGGAGUCUCUGAGCCGGUCUACAGUGGAGCGGAUUGGGUCAGACAUCCUGGUUCAACAACAACAACAACAACAUCAUCAUCAUCAUCAUCAUCAUCAUCAUCAUCAAGCAGCAGCAGCAGCCGCAUCAGCAGCUGCAGCAGAAAAAGAUGACCAGGAACUGUUUAGCCUACAGUCAGCUGAAGUCGUAGAUAGAGUCAGAGGAGAGGGCGAACAGGAAGUCAGCAGUGCAGCUUCCAACAGGUCGCCUGUGCAGGUUCUGUCAUCAACCCCUAAAGCAGGGCCCUGACAGCCCUCAAAUACUGUACAUGACAGCUUCCCCGGGGUACCAGGGAAAUACAUCUACUGCCCCUCCAGAGUGUUCUUCCCCUACAAGGCACAGGGCAUGGGGAAGGAGAUGACCUGGGGGUUCAAACUGUUGGACUUCUAUGAGGCUGAGAGACACAAAAAUUCAAAGAGAAGACAGACAAAUGGACUGCUAACCCACCAAACGACAAAUAUAUCCUCUCGCACGUACACGCACGCACACACUCACGCACACAAGACACACCACUGUGCAUUGUCAGGACUGUUUCUUCUGUUUUCAUAGCCAAGCAAUUGUGAUCUUUAGUUUAAUUUAACUGUAUUCACCUUUACUGGACGUCUGGUCUGAUUCAUCAUCAUCAUCAUCAUCAUCAUCAUCAUCAUCAUCAUCAUCCUCACAUAGUCUCUCAGCACCUUUACAUGCACUCUAGUGUUCCCUCUACGUGUGUAAAUGUGUAAUAUUUUAAUAAAUUAUUCCGUAAAUGUAUACCCAUAUUUAGUUGUUAAUUUGUUUUAUAUAUAACAUUUGAAUUAUAUAAAUAAGCAAUGUGUCAAUGUCAGUUUUUAUUGUGUGUUUACGAAUGAGGUUGUUCUUUAUGAAAUAUCUUGGGAGCAUUACUAUGACUGUCAUUUGAUUGAGGAAGUAAAAGUGAUAGAAAAUGAAAUAAAAUUAUACGUAUAAAUA
Perca fluviatilis (European perch) is the source of this 1156-nucleotide long non-coding RNA. RefSeq lists it as uncharacterized. NCBI's taxonomy places the organism in Eukaryota, Metazoa, Chordata, Actinopteri, Perciformes, Percidae. The record is from RefSeq and is a predicted model, not a curated record. The transcript is spliced from 3 exons.